RNAcentral lists this long non-coding RNA (8233 nucleotides) under Zea mays. RNAcentral describes it as "long non-coding RNA (ZMAY_LNC001286)". The record is from RNAcentral. Lineage: Eukaryota; Viridiplantae; Streptophyta; Magnoliopsida; Poales; Poaceae.
UCAACUAUCGUCAAACAAAACCGGAACCAACUGAACAACUACCUAAAGAGAGAUAGUUAGGUGUUCGUGCGUUGCUACACUUUUUAUAUAUCAAAUAAUUAGACAUUGUUUAAAUGAAGUUUGCUACUACUCCAAACCUAAGCACCUGGCUAGAAUGCCUGCAGACUAUUGAUGCAGUAGCAGUUCAACUCAUAAGUAGCAAACAUUUUUUUUCAUAGGCCCAACACGCUUAAUAGUAAACUCAUGCAAAAGAAUCUCAAAACAACAAUGCACACCUCAUGCAUUUCAUUCGGUUCACAAACUAUGGCUCCGGUAGAAAAUGGAUUUGCUUGUUUCUGAUGAAAGCAUCCUGCAAAAUUAAUACCAUUAAAAGUAUGUCUCAGGUGUGUAGCAGCAAACAUACAAUAAGAUAAAACAAUGGUGGAGUAUUUCUUGUAUUACCUGAAUAUAUACGCGUUCACCUUUCCAGUUGUCAUCAUUUCAUUCGGUCCACAAAGUAUGGCUCCUGUAGAAGAUGGAUUUAUUGUGUUCUUGCUUCUGAAGAAUGCAUGUCACAAAUUUAAUAUCAUUAAAAGGAUGUCUUGGGUGUGUAGCAACAAACAUGCAAUAAAGAUAACACAAUGGUGGAGUAUUUCUUGUAUUACCUAAACAUAUCCUCAUUCACCUUUCCAACUGUCAUUUAGCUAAGGCUGGUAUUAUUUUAAUUCCAGUUGACUCCCAAUUACUGAGUCAUUCUUGUCAAACAGAAAGUUAUAUAUCUUUCUUAUGUGAGCUAAAGGCUUAUCUGACAAAUACACGGUUUGCAUACAACACAUAGGGGAAUUUUCUCCAACCUAGUAUGCCAUAGAUUGCAGACCUGUAUCACCAUGAUAAAGCCUCACAUCCGCUCUUUCAUUGGUAGUAAAAGCAAACUCGACAAGUGAAUGAAAUCAUGAAUCGCAGUGAAAAAAUACAGAAGAAUAAUUUGAGCAAGAUUAGAGGAGGCCCAAAACUUAAGAGUAGAAGUGCUUCGACUUAUCAUGAGGAACAACAAGAAGUGGCUUCUGCUACUCAUCACAGCAGCAACAGAGACCAACUCCGCUCUAGGAUGGUAAAACAAUGUCCAAUCUUAUUUGUUGAUUGAGCAAAAAGCAAUGUUUCCUUCAUUUAAAAGUAACUAUCAAUUCCAGUGUCAUCAAAGAGUUCCUCAGUUCGAAUGUGAGAGGUACCAAAUAACUCUUCGUAAUUCUCAAAUGUCAUGUUAGCAUGACCACACAUAAGUCUUCAUAAAUGGCAUCAUUGAACUUAUUGUCAUCUCUAGUAUAAGGUACCUGAGAGUAUAACCAGCAUCUGAUAAGAAUACAACGGUAAUAGAUUGUAUUUUUCUUAAAAAUGGCUGAUGAUAAUCAAGAUCUGAAAAUUCUGAACCAAUGCAACUUGCAACUGUCCACUGACACAAAUGUAUUCAAUAACUUGUUUCAAAAAUGAAAUUUUCAUUGUAAAAUAAAGCUACUUGAGAAUUGAGAGCCCAACAGGAAAAAACAUACAGACUGUUAAAUAGAGAAAAAUGGAUCAUCACUAAGGAAUAAAUUCCAUGUGCUACUUUCCUGAAGAUAAACAAUAAAUGAAUUGUGUUGAUGCAAGACUGAAAUAGUAACCAAGCUACAUGACUCUUAUUGUCUUAUAUUCAUAUGAGAAUAUUCUUUAUUUUAUAUGUUUAAGUAACUUGCAUGCCAUAACAACAAGUCUUUUGACAUGCAAAAACAAAGCACAAAGUUAAGGAAUAUUCUUGUAGGAAAAUAUGAAAAGGCACAUCACACCUUAGGUGUCGCUGAAACUGGUCCAACAGGCUGAUCUGUGGCUAGAGGCAGCACAUCAAACCCAUCACCAGAAGAAGAGCCUAUUAGAGGUUUAAGCUUGUCGGUUAAAGGUGGAUCGAUCAUGAGUGUUGUGUUAGUUAUUUCCAACAAUCUUUUUUCAUCUGAAGGACCGUGAUGAUUAGUCACAUCACUGUCAUCAAUUGUCAUCAUGCAUUACUGCUUAGGACAUAUCGACCUUGCAGAACACCAACGAAUUUUAGAGCACGAUGGUGUCGAGUCGAAGGCUUGCUGGAAAAAGUGCAUGUCGAUCACACAGACGAGGAUCCCACGCUCGUCGACGACCAGAAGAGUAGCUCCUUUAUUUUUGUUCUCUGAACCUCAGCAACUUUGAUGAAUUUGUCACCACUCAAGGGAUCGACUAUCCAAUUCCAGUUAGCAAAUGCAGAUGAUGUCUAGCUGCCCUGCACUGAACCAUCAUGGUUGAGACAGAGAUAACUCAAGGCUAGAUCUGCAUUGUGCAUCUAAAUGCAUAGGUAAAACAACAUAUCUUCUUCCAUCAGAAAGUGUGACACACACAUGUUGCCAGGAGGACAGUCACACGGUUCCCUACUGAUACAUGUGUAAUCAAACUACAUGGGUAUUUCAAACCUAAUAACAUGUAUUGUGUUCAAUCAUGCAUCAAGGCUUCUAUGCUUUAAGUCAUUGCAGCUCCAACCUUACAUCACACUGACAUGGGCCACCGUGGCGAACUUCAACAAAGAGAGCCCCGGAGGAGGUUCGCUUAAACAAUUUAGGCAGAAUGGUAGCUGCAAAUAAUGAACAAAAACCUAACAAAACCGUGCAAGGGUGGAUUGUCAGGGGUCUACUCAACUAUCGUCAAACAAAACCGGAACCAACUGAACAACUACCUAAAGAGAGAUAGUUAGGUGUUCGUGCGUUGCUACACUUUUUAUAUAUCAAAUAAUUAGACAUUGUUUAAAUGAAGUUUGCUACUACUCCAAACCUAAGUGUUAGAGGUAGACAGAGUGUUUUGCCGGGGGUUAUAACCUCAGCUAUCAUUGCUUGAUUAUAUAGAAAAAUAAGUCACAUUGAUUACAUAACAGCUCAUUAGAGCUUAGCUAAUCUGAUAGGAGCCUUGGCAGCCGCACACACCUGUUGAGCUGCUCAAGGUCUUUAAUGACUAUAAUUAACUAGCACAAGUAACUAGGAGAAUGCUUAGGAAACAGGACAUGCUUAGGAAACAGGACUUAAUAACAACAUUUCUCCCCCUAAGGCAUGUUUCAACUGAUUUUGAUCUCCUUGAUCCCAAUUCUGCUUCUCAUAUCUUCCAACUUGGUCUUGCCCAAGGCUUUGGUCAGUAUAUCAGCAAGCUGAUCUGCAGUGGGAAUAAAUUCUGUUUUAAUGCUACCUUCUUCCACACAGUCCCUGAUGAAGUGAUGCUUGAUUCUAAUAUGUUUGCUCCUGUCAUGGAAAACAGGAUUCUUUGCCAAAGCUAGAGCGGAUUUAUUGUCUACUCUAAGUUCCACCACCUCAACUUCUCUUCCCAAUAAUUUUGCAAACAGCCUUGACAACCACAAGGCUUGGGUUGCAGCUGUUGUCAUUGCCACAUAUUCAGCCUCACAGCUUGACAAGGCAACAACUCUCUGCUUGAUAGAUUGCCAGCUGACCAGACUGUUUCCAAGGAAAAACAAACAUCCAGUAGUGCUUUUACUUGUAUCAAUAUCUCCAGCCAAGUCUGAGUCACUAUAACCCACAAAUCUAGCCUUGCCUGUCAUUCUAGUAUAGCAUAGCCCAUGAUCUAGAGUACCAGCCACAUAUCUCAAGAUUCUUUUUACAGCCUGAAGAUGUUCAGUUGUUGGCUUCUCCAGAAAUCUGCUAACAUACCCUACAGCAAAAGCCAAAUCUGGCCUUGUGUGCACUAGAUAUCUCAGGCUACCAACUAGUCUUCUAUACUGAGUUGGAUUUACCUCCUUUGCUGUACUUUCCUUGCUCAGUUUCAACCUUUCUUCCAUGGGGGUGGUGGCUGGAUUACAGUCUGCCAUACCACCGAGCUCAAGUAUCUUCUUAGCAUAAUGAGUCUGUUUCAGAGUAAUGCUUCCCUCUAAUUGUCUUACCUCAACCCCAAGAUAGAAAGACAACAGACCCAAAUCACUCAUUUCGAAUGUCUGCUUCAUUUUUGCCUUGAAAACUUCAAUCUUCUGCUGAUUGACUCCAGUGAUGAUUAAAUCAUCAACAUAGACUCCAAUUACCAGCAAAGAAUCACCUGAGCCUUUCCUGUACAUGGCAGCCUCAUAUACAUUCUGCUCAAAACCCAUCUGCUUGAGAGUCAAAUCAAGUUUGGCAUUCCAAGCCCGAGGAGCCUGUCUUAGGCCAUACAAUGCAUUGUGUAACCUGUACACUUUCUUCUCUUCUCCUGAUACUUCAAAGCCUGGUGGCUGAGUAACAUAAACCUCUUCCUUGAGUUCUCCAUUCAGAAAUGCAGACUUCACAUCCAUGUGAUGUACUGCCCAACCUUCUUGUGCUGCUAGAGCAAGUAAAACACGUACUGAUUCCAUUCUUGCAACUGGUGCAAAGGCAUCUUCAUAGUCAAUCCCUUCCUUCUGAACAAAGCCACGGGCCACAAGUCUUGCCUUGUGUCUGAUCACAGCACCAUGUUCAUCCUUCUUCAAUUUAAACACUCACUUCAAUGAAAUUGGGCGAUGACCUGGACUAGGAGUAACAAGUUCCCAAGUCCCAUUCCGCUCAACUGAGCUCAGCUCUUCCUUCAUUGUUGCCUGCUAAUCUGGGUCAUCUUUGGCCUCUUCAUAGCUUGUGGGCUCACCAGCAUGAGUGAGGUUCAGUUCUGCAAACAACCUUUGUGCCGGCAAAGGGGUUGGCUGAUUACCAAUAAUAUCAUGGAUCUUCCUAUAAUGAAGCUCUUCACCAUCAUGAUAAGCAUCCACCCUUUCACUAUCAUUCUCCAGAGGAGUCACAUGCUCUAUCUGCGGGCUUGCUGGAGCUGGUGUAGGUGUUCUAGGCGACACAUGCACUUCUGUCUCCACUGCGGAUUCCUCUGCUUCUGCUGCAGACUCUCCUGCACUCACCAAAGGGAGACUAGGUGAUGUAGGAUGUGGCUGAAGAGGUGGUGAGGGUAACACUGAACUUUCUGCUUCAGAAAACUCUUCUGCCCAUGGAAACUCAACAACAAAAUCGCUGUCUGCUGCCUCUGAAGUACCUGCUGCCGCUGAUGCCCAGUCCCAGCCACGUCCUUCAUCAAAUACCACAUCACGGCUGACUCGCACGCGCUGGGACACUGGAUCAAAUACACGAUAUGCCUUGGCCCCUUCUGCAUAGCCAAUGAACACUCCAGCCUUACCACGAUCAUCAAGUUUCUGGAGCUGAGUAAGCCGCCGGGUAUAAGCCACGCAGCCAAAUACCUUGAGAUGGCCAACUGUUGGUGCCCGGCCAUGCCAUGCCUCAUACGGAGUGACAUUCUUCAGUGCCUUUGUUGGAGAGCGAUUCAGAAUGUGCACAGCCGUCAUCACAGCCUCCCCCCAAAACCGAGAAGGCAUCCGGCGUUGCUUGAGCAGAGCUCGUGCCAUGGCCACCACAGUUUGAUUCCUGCGCUCAACCACACCAUUCUGUUGCGGUGAAUAAGGAGCACUGAAAUGCCUUUUAAUACCUUCAUUGGCGCAGUAUGCGGCGAACUCCGCGACGGUGAAUUCCCCGCCAUUGUCGGUGCGCAGGACCUUCAACUUGCGCCCACUUUCCACCUCUGCUGCCGCCUUGAUCUUCUUGAUUGCUUCCGCCGCUGCGUCCUUGGAUGGCAGCAACACAGCCCACAUAAAACGGGUGGCAUCAUCGACGAGCAGCAGGAUGUAGCGGUUGCCCGCCGGUGUCGCUGGCGUGACUGGGCCGCACAGAUCACCGUGCACCAAUUCGAGUUGAUUCUGGGCACGAUAUGCUGCUGCGGCCGGAAAAGAGCGUCGCCUCUGCUUCGUGGUGACACAAGUGUCACAUACCUGCUCCACAUGAUCGACCACCGGCAUCCCACACGCCAUCUCCUCCUUGCUGAGUCGCCGGAGUGCAUCGAAGUUCAGAUGGCCGAAACGUUCGUGCCACUGCCAUGCCUCAACAUCCUUGCGCGCCGCGAGACAGAUAGGUUGUGCAGCCUCGAGGUGCAAAAUGUACAACCUGUUCUUCCCUCGAUGUACCUUGGCCAGCAAUCGGUGAUAAUUGUCCCAAAUGUGGAGCACGCCAUGGUUAAUUACAACCUUGGACCCUCCUUCAUCAAGCUGUCCCAAACUUAGUAUGGAGUUCUUCAGCGCUGGAAUGUAGUAAACGCCGUGAAGAACUCUCUGCUCACCGGUCUUGGCUUGAAAAAUGAUAGAUCCAACUCCCUUGAUUUCCACCUUCGAUGCAUCCCCGAACCGGACCGUUCCUCGAACGCCAGUGUUCAGAUCAGCAAAGAGUUCUUGACGCCCGGUCAUGUGAUGUGUUGCGCCAGAGUCUAGGUACCAACCGUUGUCCAUAUCUUCUUCAUCCACGCCAAGGUAGGCACAGGCACGUGGCUCAGAGAGCUCGACAUGCUGCGCCGUGUAGCUGUGCGCCGGCGUGCUCUGUUCCAGGCUGAUAAAGUCAUGUGCCAGAAACAGAGCACCAUCUUCUUCACAUUCGGCGUACUGGACGCGCGCCUCAUGCCUUCCUUGGUUCCCGCCACGCUGUCCAGCCUGAUUUCCGCCGUCGCGACCUCCACCACGGUUGCCACCGCCGCGGCCAGCACGGUUUCCACCGCCACCGCCGCGCUCUGCAUCCUCACGGCGCGGCUGCGGACACUCACGUGCCCAGUGGCCUUCCUGGUUGCAGUUGAGGCAGGUGUUGGGGCCGACACGGCCAGCAACAUUGUCGUCUCCUCGUCCGCCACCACGUCCACCUCCUCUGCCUCGUCCUCGUCCACCACCGCGGCUGCGUCCACCGCCACCGCGCUGGUUCCUGGAACCAGAGCCACAUGCAUCGUCUCCCUUCUUCUCCUUUCUGCAUCGCGCUUUCCACUGCUCCUCAGUGUACAACAGCUUGCCAUUGAUGGACACCGGCUCGGUCAGUAUUUGUUCUUCGCGAUUGUCCACCGCCUUAAGCCUUCCAGUCACCUCCUCAAGAGUCAGUGCCUCAAAAUCAAGGAACUGCUCAAUGGCGACGACGAUCUGCGAGUACUUGGCCGGCACCGUGCGCAGGAAUUUCUCCACCACGCGCUCCUCGGUGAUGUCCCUAUCGCCAUGGAUGACAAGCUGCUGGUGCAGAGUUGACAACCGCACAGCAAAGUCAUCCACUUGCUCACCAGGAUUGACGCUGAUGUUCUCCCAAUCACGGCGUAGGCGCUGCAGCGUUGCUCGACGGACCCUGACCACGCUGAUGCGGGUCGCAGCGAUGGCGUCCCACGCCUCCUUCGCCGUAGCCUUGUCGAGCAGUGGGAGACCCAUCUCCUUGGGUACAGCCCCGACGAUCACCUCCAGUGCGCGUCUGUCAUCGCGGAACUGGACAGGGCCGCCUUCAAUGGCGUCCCAGAGAUCGCGCGCCUGCAUCCUCAGCUUCAUAGUCUGGCUCCACUCGUAGUAAUUCGUCUUGUCCAGCAUCGGCCACGCCGUGCCGCUGCCGGAGUCGUGGUACACCACCCUUCCUUGCGGCGACUCGUAGCGACCACCGCCGCGGCAGCGCCUCCGGUCCCGCAGUGGUGACUGCGAACGCCUCCGGUCUCGCGGAGGAGUCCGCGGCCUACGAUUCCUCUCCAUCUCCUCUUCCUCUUCAUCGACCUCCUCAUCUUCUCCCUUCUCGGCGGCGAUUUCAGCCCGCAGCUCCUGCGUCGUCCUUGCCGCUGCCUCUGCUGCAGCCGCUGCCUGCUUUGCUGCCUGGACUGCCAGCGCCGCUGCUUCCUCUGCAGCCUUCAGGCGUGCAGCACGGCUGGAGAAGUCGCCCAGCUCUCCUUCACUGGUUCCCUUGGCCUUGAGCCUGGCAGCGCGCUCAGCAGAGGUCGACAUGAGUAGAGAAGAGAGGAGUCGGCUUUGAGACUCUCAGGUGUCUAACCUAAGCUCCGAUACCAAAUGUUAGAGGUAGACAGAGUGUUUUGCCGGGGGUUAUAACCUCAGCUAUCAUUGCUUGAUUAUAUAGAAAAAUAAGUCACAUUGAUUACAUAACAGCUCAUUAGAGCUUAGCUAAUCUGAUAGGAGCCUUGGCAGCCGCACACACCUGUUAAGCUGCUCAAGGUCUUUAAUGACUAUAAUUAACUAGCACAAGUAACUAGGAGAAUGCUUAGGAAACAGGACAUGCUUAGGAAACAGGACUUAAUAACAACACUAAGCACCUGGCUAGAAUGCCUGCAGACUAUUGAUGCAGUAGCAGUUCAACUCAUAAGUAGCAAACAUUUUUUUCAUAGGCCCAACACGCUUAAUAGUAAACUCAUG